This 59-nucleotide transfer RNA is filed under the name Centromochlus heckelii. RNAcentral describes it as "partial tRNA-Ser". The record is from RNAcentral. Lineage: Eukaryota; Metazoa; Chordata; Actinopteri; Siluriformes; Auchenipteridae.
AAAGAGGCUCUAAAGCAAUUAGGGACUGCUAAUCCCUACCCCCGCGGUUAAAUUCCGCG